Molecule: small nuclear RNA, 103 nt
Filed under: Procavia capensis (Cape rock hyrax)
Lineage: Eukaryota; Metazoa; Chordata; Mammalia; Hyracoidea; Procaviidae
Source: RNAcentral
GUGCUUGCUUCAGCAGCACAUAUACUAAAGUUGGAUACAGAGAAGAUUAGUACGGCCCCUGUGCAAGGAUGACACGCAACUUCAUGAAGUGUUCCAUAUUUUU